This 100-nucleotide ribosomal RNA is filed under the name Duganella sp. sic0402. Its description in RNAcentral is "partial 16S ribosomal RNA". It matches the Rfam family "Bacterial small subunit ribosomal RNA", at positions 1 to 99 of the family's 1533-position model. The record is from RNAcentral. Lineage: Bacteria; Pseudomonadati; Pseudomonadota; Betaproteobacteria; Burkholderiales; Oxalobacteraceae.
AAACUAAAGAGUUUGAUCCUGGCUCAGAUUGAACGCUGGCGGCAUGCCUUACACAUGCAAGUCGAACGGCAGCACGGAGCUUGCUCUGGUGGCGAGUGGC